This 613-nucleotide ribosomal RNA is filed under the name uncultured bacterium. RNAcentral describes it as "bacterial SSU rRNA". The stretch from base 1 to 522 matches the Rfam family "Bacterial small subunit ribosomal RNA", at positions 338 to 873 of the family's 1533-position model. The record is from RNAcentral.
CCUACGGGAGGCAGCAGUGGGGAAUAUUGCACAAUGGGCGCAAGCCUGAUGCAGCAACGCCGCGUGAGGGACGACGGCCUUCGGGUUGUAAACCUCUUUUAGUAGGGAAGAAGCGAAAGUGACGGUACCUGCAGAAAAAGCACCGGCUAACUACGUGCCAGCAGCCGCGGUAAUACGUAGGGUGCAAGCGUUAUCCGGAAUUAUUGGGCGUAAAGAGCUCGUAGGCGGUUUGUCGCGUCUGCUGUGAAAACUGGAGGCUCAACCUCCAGCCUGCAGUGGGUACGGGCAAACUAGAGUGCGGUAGGGGGGAUUGGAAUUCCUGGUGUAGCGGUGGAAUGCGCAGAUAUCAGGAGGAACACCGAUGGCGAAGGCAGAUCUCUGGGCCGUAACUGACGCUGAGGAGCGAAAGCAUGGGGAGCGAACAGGAUUAGAUACCCUGGUAGUCCAUGCCGUAAACGUUGGGCGCUAGAUGUGGGGACCAUUCCACGGUUUCCGUGUCGCNGCUACGACAUAGCGCCCGCCGUCGGGAGGUACGGCCGCGACGGACGUAAACGUUAAACGGUAAGUUAGACGGCGUGAGACGUCGCCGACGGACGACGACGAGGGAGGUAGG